UACGUAGGUGGCAAGCGUUAUCCGGAUUUAUUGGGCGUAAAGGGAACGCAGGCGGUCUUUUAAGUCUGAUGUGAAUGCCUUCGGCUUAACCGGAGUAGUGCAUUGGAAACUGGGAGACUUGAGUGCAGAAGAGGAGAGUGGAACUCCAUGUGUAGCGGUGAAAUGCGUAGAUAUAUGGAAGAACACCAGUGGCGAAAGCGGCUCUCUGGUCUGUAACUGACGCUGAGGUUCGAAAGCGUGGGUAGCAAACAGG
RNAcentral lists this ribosomal RNA (253 nucleotides) under uncultured bacterium. RNAcentral's name for it is "partial 16S ribosomal RNA". It matches the Rfam family "Bacterial small subunit ribosomal RNA", at positions 524 to 776 of the family's 1533-position model. The record is from RNAcentral.